GAUGAACGCUGGCGGCGUGCCUAAUACAUGCAAGUCGAGCGAACAGACGAGGAGCUUGCUCCUCUGACGUUAGCGGCGGACGGGUGAGUAACACGUGGAUAACCUACCUAUAAGACUGGGAUAACUUCGCGAAACCGGAGCUAAUACCGGAUAAUAUAUUGAACCGCAUGGUUCAAUAGUGAAAGACGGUUUUGCUGUCACUUAUAGAUGGAUCCGCGCCGCAUUAGCUAGUUGGUAAGGUAACGGCUUACCAAGGCGACGAUGCGUAGCCGACCUGAGAGGGUGAUCGGCCACACUGGAACUGAGACACGGUCCAGACUCCUACGGGAGGCAGCAGUAGGGAAUCUUCCGCAAUGGGCGAAAGCCUGACGGAGCAACGCCGCGUGAGUGAUGAAGGUCUUCGGAUCGUAAAACUCUGUUAUUAGGGAAGAACAAAUGUGUAAGUAACUAUGCACGUCUUGACGGUACCUAAUCAGAAAGCCACGGCUAACUACGUG
RNAcentral lists this ribosomal RNA (497 nucleotides) under uncultured bacterium. Its description in RNAcentral is "partial 16S ribosomal RNA". It matches the Rfam family "Bacterial small subunit ribosomal RNA", at positions 28 to 507 of the family's 1533-position model. The record is from RNAcentral.